This is a long non-coding RNA of Pantherophis guttatus, 433 nucleotides long. RefSeq lists it as uncharacterized. Lineage: Eukaryota; Metazoa; Chordata; Lepidosauria; Squamata; Colubridae. The record is from RefSeq and is a predicted model, not a curated record.
GAGGUGAAUCCAGUGACAUUUUUUCCAUCCAGCACCAAAACCUGGGCUCAAAAAGUAUAGGAAUGGAUUCUGGGGCUAUAUCCAAGAUUUGAGUGGUACUGCUUGGAGGCUAUAAGGGAGUCUGUUUCCAGCUAGGAGGAUGCUGAAGUGAAGCCAACGAGUUAUUGCAGAAGUAAUCAGACAGCUUACAGGACUUCAGGAUCAGAUGUCCUACUCUAUAUUAGCCCAGCUCUUGAGACCCAUCUCAAAUGUCUCCCUGAGAUUUCCAAUUGGAGAGAUGCCUCUUCUUGCUAGCUGACAGCUCUUUGCUGCAGCUUCUACAUGUGGCAUAAUAUUCCCUGGCUUGUGAAGAAAGAUUAAGAUGGCACUUCCCACCAGCAAGACUAACUAAGAUGUUUAAAGAUAUGUCUGCUAAGUGAAAAACGAAAGGAAA